RNAcentral lists this ribosomal RNA (470 nucleotides) under Chromobacterium violaceum. RNAcentral's name for it is "bacterial SSU rRNA". It matches the Rfam family "Bacterial small subunit ribosomal RNA", at positions 60 to 526 of the family's 1533-position model. Lineage: Bacteria; Pseudomonadati; Pseudomonadota; Betaproteobacteria; Neisseriales; Chromobacteriaceae. The record is from RNAcentral.
AGUCGAACGGUACAGGGUGCUUGCACCGCUGACGAGUGGCGAACGGGUGAGUAAUGCAUCGGAAUGUACCGUGUAAUGGGGGAUAGCUCGGCGAAAGCCGGAUUAAUACCGCAUACGCCCUGAGGGGGAAAGUGGGGGACCGUAAGGCCUCACGUUAUACGAGCAGCCGAUGUCUGAUUAGCUAGUUGGUGAGGUAAAGGCUCACCAAGGCGUCGAUCAGUAGCGGGUCUGAGAGGAUGAUCCGCCACACUGGGACUGAGACACGGCCCAGACUCCUACGGGAGGCAGCAGUGGGGAAUUUUGGACAAUGGGCGCAAGCCUGAUCCAGCCAUGCCGCGUGUCUGAAGAAGGCCUUCGGGUUGUAAAGGACUUUUGUCCGGGAGCAAAUCCUAGUGGUUAAUAACCGCUGGGUCUGAGAGUACCGGAAGAAUAAGCACCGGCUAACUACGUGCCAGCAGCCGCGGUAAUAC